CUGAAAUCUACGGCUGUUCCUUUCACACUUGUGCCAAAGGCAAACAAACAUAAUUCUCCCUGGCAGCUGGACGACAUUCCAAACAGCCACCACAUUAAUUCACUCACCUCCAUCAGCCUCCGCCUGCAACCUGCACAGCUUGCUGCCAGGAAGCCUGGCAAUAAAUUCCAACUCUAAAUACCAAACAAGGUAGAAAAUACCAUACAAUGCAUUAUUCCAAAGGACAAAAUGGGCUUGCUCGAUAGAGAUACUGAGCAACGGCUCUUCCACUGCCUUUUGGAGUUCUCCUUAUUGCCCUUGUGGAGACUGGCAGCUGCCACAGAAAAUGGAGGUUUGCACUGACAGUUAAAUUCUGGAAUAUUUACUCAAAAUUUGAGUAAAUUUUGUUAUUACAAUCAAUAGCUAGAUGUUUGAUUAAAACUAAAAUUUUGUAUAUUGAUGAUGUGCAAACUAAUAUUAACAACUAAAGUGAUGACAAGGGAUCAAGCCUGGAAUUGCUGUGUAUUCAACUGCUUCUGGAGAAGGGUGUUGUGGACACUGUGCUGCAGCUCUGCAACAUCUCUUAGUGAAACUUUUUAUUUUCUCUCCAACAAACUAUAUAUGAAAAUGAUGCAGAUGGUUUCAAGGCAGGGGUUUGGAAAAUAUCUGAAAACAAAUUUCACAAAACCAAGAUUUACAAGUGCUUGCGUCUAGAUUUCUGAUAGGGUAGCCAGACAUCAGGGAAGAAUUUUUCUAACUUCUCAAAAAUAUUGGAGCUAUCAAGAUGUAUUGGGCACAGAAGAUAGUGUAUGUAAGGGCAGUUGGAUGACUGAAAAUAGAAACUCUUAAGAAUAACACAGACCAUUUUGGAAGAGAAUUCUGUAUCUGGAGAGCCAGAGGCACAGCAGACUGGCCAAACUAUAUCAAGGAUAUCCAGGAACCUGGUAAGCAGAUGUGAGGCAUGUGGGGAAAUGUGGUCCAAACAGCAAAAGACGCUAUGUAAAACUUCAGCUUCCCUAGCAGGCUUUGGAGCAUAGUAGGAAUGGACCUUCUGAACAAAUGCACCAAGAAGUUACAGUUUUGAGCUAGAAGAUAGUAAGUAUAUGUACAUCUCUUGUAAACGUGAAGUUAAACCACUGUCACAGCUGAGUGUAAAUUUAGCACAUAUUACUUCAUUUUUGAGCUGCAUCUUGUGAAUUGAACUGUUUCCCAACUGAGAGAUGGUAACUUAACCCAGGAGUGUGUUAGCUCGGGUGGUUACAAUGCCCUCAGCAGAGUGUGAGACCCUAUCUCUGCAAAAGGCAAAGAAAAAAUAUAGCCAGCCCUUCCUGAAUAAAGAAAUAUGUGUACAAAGAGCCUGAACA
This 1343-nucleotide long non-coding RNA is filed under the name Parus major (Great Tit). Its description in RNAcentral is "lncRNA (ENSPMJG00000007235.1)". The record is from RNAcentral. Lineage: Eukaryota; Metazoa; Chordata; Aves; Passeriformes; Paridae.